GAUGAAGAACGCAGCGAAAUGCGAUACUUGGUGUGAAUUGCAGAAUCCCGUGAACCAUCGAGUCUUUGAACGCAAGUUGCGCCCGAAGCCAUUAGGCCGAGGGCACGCCUGCCUGGGCGUCACACGUCGUUGCCCCCCCAUCUACUCCUUCGGGAUUGCGGGGGCGGAUGAUGGCCUCCCGUACGCCUCGCCGCGCGGUUGGCAUAAAUGCCAAGUCCUCGGCGACGCACGCCACGACAAUCGGUGGUUGCGAAACCUCGGUUGCCCGUCGUGUGCGGUCGUCGCGCAUCGAGGGCUCGAAAAAAUUGCCGGGUUCCGGCUCGGCUUUCAACGCGACCCCAGGUCAGGCGGGGUUACCCGCUGAAUUUAAGCAUAUCAAUAAGCGGAGGA
RNAcentral lists this unclassified non-coding RNA (390 nucleotides) under soil metagenome. RNAcentral's name for it is "partial contains 5.8S ribosomal RNA, internal transcribed spacer 2, and large subunit ribosomal RNA". The stretch from base 1 to 122 matches the Rfam family "5.8S ribosomal RNA", at positions 35 to 154 of the family's 154-position model. The record is from RNAcentral.